Molecule: ribosomal RNA, 440 nt
Filed under: uncultured bacterium
Lineage: Bacteria
Description: bacterial SSU rRNA
Rfam family: Bacterial small subunit ribosomal RNA
Source: RNAcentral
CCUACGGGUGGCAGCAGUGGGGAAUAUUGCGCAAUGGGCGAAAGCCUGACGCAGCGACGCCGCGUGUGGGAUGACGGCCUUCGGGUUGUAAACCACUGUCGGGAGGGACGAAGCUCUGACGGUACCUCCAAAGGAAGCACCGGCUAACUCUGUGCCAGCAGCCGCGGUAAUACAGAGGGUGCAAGCGUUGUCCGGAAUCACUGGGCGUAAAGGGCGCGUAGGCGGCCUGGUAAGCAGGGGGUGAAAUCCUGUGGCUCAACCACAGGGCUGCCUCCUGAACUGUCAGGCUGGAGCACGGUAGAGGCAGAUGGAAUUCCCGGUGUAGCGGUGGAAUGCGUAGAGAUCGGGAAGAACACCAGUGGCGAAGGCGGUCUGCUGGGCCGUUGCUGACGCUGAGGCGCGACAGCGUGGGGAGCAAACAGGAUUAGAUACCCUGGUAG